RNAcentral lists this ribosomal RNA (483 nucleotides) under uncultured bacterium. RNAcentral's name for it is "partial 16S ribosomal RNA". It matches the Rfam family "Bacterial small subunit ribosomal RNA", at positions 28 to 523 of the family's 1533-position model. The record is from RNAcentral.
GACGAACGCUGGCGGCGUGCUUAACACAUGCAAGUCGAACGGUGAAAGCGGAGCUUGCUCCGCUGGAUCAGUGGCGAACGGGUGAGUAACACGUGGGCAACCUGCCCCUCACUUCGGGAUAACUCCGGGAAACCGGGGCUAAUACCGGAUAUGACCUCCUUGGGCAUCCUUGGAGGUGGAAAGUUUUUCGGUGGGGGAUGGGCCCGCGGCCUAUCAGCUUGUUGGUGAGGUAGUGGCUCACCAAGGCGACGACGGGUAGCCGGCCUGAGAGGGUGACCGGCCACACUGGGACUGAGACACGGCCCAGACUCCUACGGGAGGCAGCAGUGGGGAAUAUUGGACAAUGGGCGAAAGCCUGAUCCAGCAACGCCGCGUGAGGGAUGACGGCCUUCGGGUUGUAAACCUCUUUCAGCAGGGACGAAGCGAGAGUGACGGUACCUGCAGAAGAAGGACCGGCCAACUACGUGCCAGCCGCCGCAGUAA